GAUGAACGCUAGCGGCAGGCCUAAUACAUGCAAGUCGAACGGUGUCUUCGGACAUAGUGGCGCACGGGUGCGUAACACGUAUGCAACCUACCUUACAUUGGGGGAUAGCCUUUCGAAAGGGAGAUUAAUACCGCAUAAGACAGUAGCUGGGCAUCCAGCAGCUGUUAAAGAUUUAUCGAUGUAAGAUGGGCAUGCGUCCAAUUAGUUAGUUGGCGAGGUAACGGCUCACCAAGACUUUGAUUGGUAGGGGAACUGAGAGGUCAAUCCCCCACACUGGCACUGAGAUACGGGCCAGACUCCUACGGGAGGCAGCAGUAGGGAAUAUUGGGCAAUGGAUGCAAGUCUGACCCAGCCAUGCCGCGUGCAGGAAGAAGGUCCUCUGGAUUGUAAACUGCUUUUAUAAGUGAAGAAUAUGACGGUAACUUAUGAAUAAGCACCGGCUAACUACGUG
Molecule: ribosomal RNA, 451 nt
Filed under: uncultured bacterium
Lineage: Bacteria
Description: bacterial SSU rRNA
Rfam family: Bacterial small subunit ribosomal RNA
Source: RNAcentral